Molecule: long non-coding RNA, 6202 nt
Filed under: Vigna radiata
Lineage: Eukaryota; Viridiplantae; Streptophyta; Magnoliopsida; Fabales; Fabaceae
Description: long non-coding RNA (VRAD_LNC010783)
Source: RNAcentral
CUAGACUCAGGUAUCCCAACCUUCUUUCUCUCUCGCACUCAAGAACCGAAGCUUCUCCAACCAGCACCGAGACUCCGCCUCACCAGCAGUCGCACCACCUCCGUCAAAUCGCCGGAUGUCUUCCUCCGAAACCACCACCAGCGACAUCGCCCCUUCUCCUCCCUUCCGUAGCAGCCAAGGGUUGGGGCUUUCCUUCCCCGCUAUCACCAAACCCAUCGUCGGCAACUCCUUUAAGGGCAUCCACCUCGCCAGAAACCCUAGGGUUUUCUCACCCCCCAAACCCUGAAGGCUAAUCUCGCGUGCGAGAGGGAGACAUCUCCACCAACGGUGAUUCGCCCUUGCUGCCGUCAUCGAGGAACUGACCACCGCCGCUUGCAGUCCACAAACUCACCAUGAACCACCAGGGAUGCCUCCAACCACAGUAACGAAUCAGUUUUGCCCCGCCACCUAUUGCGUAUGAACGGGAGAUUCCUUCACUUCCAAACAGCGAGCACUUACUGUUAUUCGUUAACGGAGAAUCGAAACCCUUUCUCGUCGAACACUAUUCAAGCGAAACAACAAUCGAACGUCCUGAACGUACCAGAGAUUAAUCUCCUCCACAGCUGCCAUCACCCUGAAUCUUUCCAUCAACCUAACUGCCGAACCCCUGAGCAACUUCUUUCUUCUAUUGCUAAAUCUAUUUGGCUGAGUGAAUUUCUCAUUACCGAUUGAAUUUUAUUGAUGGUUUGUAUUGGGAAAAAAUUUGAGCAAUGGAAAUUGUCUGAUGAAGAAAAACUGCGAUGAAAAUGGUUUUUGUUGUAUGACUUUCUGCAUUUCAGGUAGUUGGGGAAGACAGGUUGAUAGUAUAAUGGAGGCACUUGUGUGUUUGUAUAUUGGGUAAUACUGGGAAGAAACUCAAUGCUCACAACACCAUGCUCAACAAUACAACAGUGCAUUCAUCAGUAACAUACGACAAUUUUUCAUAACAUGGAAUAGAAAAUUACCUCUUGGAGCUCUUGUAGUUGAUCCUGGAUAUCUCCGGUGAUCGGUGAGAGUAACCAGACUCCUCCAGGUAGCUUCUGCUCUGUGACUUUUUGUUUUUUUGCCGAGACCCUUAAACCACUUCUCUUUUCUUUUCAGCUUUCCCUCUCUCUUUGUUCCUUAACCAAUUUUCGUUCCCUUCCACCACUACCAAUUCUGUUUUUUUCCUUGCCAACUCAUCACACCCCUGCUCCCUCACACCCAACACACACAAAUCAAAUCUUUUCCUCCACGUGUUUUCCACACGUUUUUUCUUCUCUCUUCUUUUCCUUUUUCUUUCUUCUUUUUUUUUUUUAAUUUUUAAUUAAUUAAUUUUCAUAUUUUAAUUAAUUAUACUAGUUAUAUUAAAAUAACAACAGAAAGUAAAAUCAAAGUUAACAACGAAAAGAAUAAGAGAAGAAAAUAAACAAUUCAAAUAAAUUAAAGAAUCAAAUAAAGAAGAAAACAAUUGUUGCAAACACUCGGACGAAAUUGAGUGUUAACAGGUGUAUACUGGUUGUACAAUGGUAGUACGAAGGGUGUAUAAAGGUUAUACAAAACGUGUAGAAAUAGUGUAGGAAGGGUGUACAAAUUUAUAGAAAAAUUUAUAAAUGGUGUACGAAGGGUGUACAAAGCUAGUACAAAGGGUAUAUAAAAGUUGUACAAUGGGUAUACAAAGGGUAUACAAUGGGUGUACAAAGGGUGUACAAAGGGUGUACAACGAAUGUAAAAAAGGUGAGGGAGGGUGUAGAAAUAAUGUACAAAGGGUGUAUAAAAGAUGUACAAAGGGUGUACAAAGAGUGUGCAAAUGAUGUAGAAAGGGUGUACGAAAUUUGUACAACCAUUCUACAUCGUUUUACAAAAUAUGUAGAAAGGCUGCAAAAUUAUGUACAAAGAAUUUACUAAGGGAAGGGAAUACAAAGGGUGUUGAGAGGAUGUACCAAGGGAGUGGAAAUUGUGUACAAAUGGUGUAUAAAGGGUGUACAUCCAUUCUACAUCUUUUUACAAAAUAUACAGAAAGACUACAAAAGGUGUACAAAAAGUAUACAAGGGAUGCACAAAGGGCAUAUAAAUGUUUUACAAAGAGUGUAUAAAGAGUUUACAUUGGAUAUACAAAUGGUGUACGAAGGUUGUACAAUUGGUGUACAAAGAGUGUAUAAAGGUUGUACAAAUGGUGUACACUCACUCUACAUCUUUUCAAAAAAUAUUUAAAAAUUUUGCAGAAAGGUAUACAAAAGAUGUAAAAAGGGUGUACAAUGAGUGUAUAAAGGGUGUACAAAAGGUGUAUAAAAGGUGUACAACAAGUGUACAAAUGUACAAAGCAUAUACAGAGGUUGUAUAAAGGGUGUAAAAAGAUUUUAGAAAAAAUGUAUAAAGUGUGUACAAAAGGUUUACAAAGGGUGUACACCCAUUGUACAUCUUAUGACAAAAUUUGCAGAAAGACUGCAGAAGGGUGUCCAUGACGUAAACAAAGGGUAUAGAAAGGGUGUAGAAAGAGUUUAUAAAAGAUGUACAAAGGGUGUAUAAAUGAUAUAUAAAGGGAGUACAAAAGAUGUGCAAAGAAUGUAUAAAAGGUAUACAAAGGGUGUAUAAAAGGUGUACAAACUAUGUACACCAAUUCCACAUCUUUUUACAAAAUAUGUAGAAAAACUGGAGAAGGACGUACAAAAAAUAAAAAAAGGGUGUACAAACGAUGUAUAAAGAGUAUAGAAAUGUUGUACAAAUUGUGUAUAAAGAAUGUACAAAGGGCAUAGAAAUGGUGUACAAAGGUUGUAUAAAUAAUGUACAAAAGUUGUUUAAAGGGUGUACAAAUGGUAAAAUAUGUCGAAAUGUUGUAGAAGGGUGUAUAAUAGGUGUUGAAAGGGUGUACAAAAGAUGUAUAAAUGGUGUACAAAUGGUGUAUAAAGGUUGUACAAAGGGUGUAGAAAGGGUGUACAGAGGGUGUACACCAAUUCUACAUCUCCUAACAAAAUAUGUAAAAAGACUGCAGAAUGGUGUACAUACGGUGUACAAAGGGUAUAGAAGUUGUGUACAAAAGUUGUACAAAAGGGUGUAAAAAGAGUGUACUAAUGGUGUACACACAUUCUAUAACUUUUUGAAAACUAUGUAGAAAUGUUGCAAAAGAAUGUAUAAAGGGCAUACAAAAGGUGUGUACAGGGUGUACAAAGGGUGUACAUCCGUUCUAUUUCGUUAGACAAAAGAUGUAGAAAUGUUUGAAAAUGGUGUACAAAAGGUAUACAUAGGAUGUAAAAAGGAUUUACAAAGAAUUUACAAAGGGUGUAAAAAUGGUGUAUAAAGUGUGUAUGAAGGGCAUACAAAGGGUAUAAAAGGAGUGUAUAAAUGGUGUAUAAAAGAUGUACAAAGAGUGUAAAAAUGAUGUAUAAAGGAUUUACAUGAGGUAUAUAAAAGGUCCAUAGAAAGUGAACAAAGGGUGUACAAAAAUGUAGAAGGAUGUAGAAAGACUGUACAAAGGAUGUACAAUGGAUAUAAAGGUUGUACAAAGGGUGUAUAAAGGGUGUACAAAAGGUCUACAAUGAGUGUGCAAAGAGUGUAUAAAGGGUGUACAUUGUUUGAACACACAUUCUAUAUCGUUUAACAAAAUAUGUAGAAAGAUUGCAGAAUGAUGUACAAAGAGUAUACUAAGGGAAUACAAAAGGUGUAGCGAGGGUGUAAAAAUGAUGUACAAAAGGUGUAUAAAUGUGUACAAAGGGUGUAAAAAGAGUGUAAAUGAUGUCUAAAGAGUGUAAAAAAUUUGUACAACCAUUCUACAUCGAUUUACAAAAUAUGUAGAAAGGCUGCAGAAUUAUGUACAAAGAGUAUACUAAGGGAAUACAAAGGGUGUUGAGAAGACGUACUAAGGGUGUAGAAAUUGUGUACAAAGAGUGUAAAAAUGGUGUACAAUCAUUCUACAUCUUUUUACAAAAUAUGUUGAAAGGCUUCAGAAUGAUGUAUAAAGGGUAUACAAAGGGUGUCCAAAAGGUGUAUAAUGAUGAAGGUUGAAAAAUAAUUAUUUUCAUAUGUCAAUUUGGACCAAAUUACACCCUUUACUACUCGGAAUGAGCUUAGAAUCAAGCAAAACUCAAUAAAUGAGUCUGAAGAGAGUCAAAAGCUGUUUUUAGCGAUUUUAUGCUUGUUUUGCAUUGUUUUGUAGCUAAUUUGAGAAAAGUAAAAAAUGGAGUUAAAGAUACAGGUCGUUGACUCAAGAAAAGAGCAGAAAAAUGAAGAUUUGAAGAGUCGACGCACCGCCCAGCGACAAUGAUAAAGGUUCUUGGAAUGAUUUGAAAGAAUGGUUGAAUUAUCAAAUGGUUGGAGUGCAGAAAAGUCAAACAAAAUGCAGGAAAGUCAACCAGUUAACUAGAAAAGUCAAUCGGUCAACCAGAAAAGUCAACCAGUCAACCAGUUGACCAUAAUGCUGAAAAGUUGUAUUUUAAUUUACUAGUUUAGAAUUUUUAGACAAACUUUGACAUUGUGGGCCAAUUUUUGGUAUUUGUUGUUGAGCCCAAUAAUAAAAAAUAGACACAUGGGACCCUAGGGUUGGGUUGACCCCACCCUAAUUUUGGAGACACUUGAUCCUAGGAAAGAGGAGGCAAUGAGCCGUCACUCACUUGGAGGAUUCUUGGCUGAAACAGGAUUUUUGGAGGACAUAUAUUCCUCUCGGCAAUUUGGCUAGCAGCGUUUUCAAGGGGACUCUUUGGGGGACUGCAACGUUUUUGGAGGAGAGCACUUAGGAAUGUAGGUUGUUUACGAUCUUUAAUGGGUUUUUACUUUGAAUGUUUUUGGAGAGUUUGCAAUGUGGCUUACGGGUUCCAAUGAUUGAAUCAAACUAUCACAUUUUCUUUUCCAUUUUUAUUUAAUUUUUGUGCAAGUGUGUCUUUCAUCUUAAUUUUCAUUGACUGCAAAGAUUAAAUAGAAAAGUGAGUGGUGUUACAGCCUGAAGGGAAUUAUCACACAUAGCCUUUACUUGUCUUUUGAAAGAAACUUGCGCUGAUUCACAUGCUGCAGCUAACACUUAAUUCAUUUUGGUCUUGGGAAGUUGGGAGAAUGUGCUGCAGUAGCUUUGAUAUUACUCACGGUGCAGUUUUUUUUAGAAGGAUAAUUUUUUGAAGAAGUUGAUGUGAUGGAUUAUGGGUGAAAACUUUCGUGAGUCUUGCUUGGAAGGCAAUGGGAACAUUUGCUGCAACAUGUGGUUAUGGUCCUGAAUGAAGGAAUCUUUAGAAGCAUAAUUCAUUUUUUUUUAAUUUAAGGAGAAAAGCCUUCGGGAGAAGCUGCAAGCGUUGGAGCUCACACGCAUAUUGAUUCCAUUUUGGAAGAAAUGGUGCAACACGAUCCACAUGGAAAAAGGUUUUGUCUUAUAUUUUCUUAGGAGAAAGAAUACAAUGGUCAAGUGAAUAGGUGUUAAAUAAAUUUUUCUUUUUAUUUUCUUAUGCUUUAAUUUAAUUUGACAUAGUUUGUUGAGUUGGGUUUUAUGUUUUUAAAUUUAUUGAUGCACUUUAAUAGUUUUAAUUGUGCUUAGAUAAUUGUUUGCUCUAGUGUUGGGUUUAACAUUUUCACUCUCUAGACUCGAUUUUAAAAAAAAUAACUGCAACCACACCAGAGGUCCAAAUGCUACGUUUUAUAUAUCACAUGAAAGAUAAUUGAGUCUAAUUUCCAGGAAAAAAAACCUCAUCUCAUUUGGAGCUCUGUAGAAAAAGUUAUGGGUAAAACAUUGAGCAGAGGUCAGAGUUGUCCAGUUCCAGCGUGAACUUUCGUAUUUACUGUAGCAGUUUCGUUUUUACUGUUUUAAUUUCAUUUUCAUGCAUGGUGAAAUGUGUUGUUGCAUUUAAUUUCGUUUUAAUUGAAUUUAGUUACGUUUUUGAAAAAACAGUUUCAAAAUCCCCCCCCCACUUUGUGUUAGACCUAAGAUCGAACCACAGUUUGGUCCUUGAGAGACGACCUAGGGGUCAUUCCCUAGCUAUACUGCACUUUAAAAUGCACAGUAAAUUUGAUUGGACGACGACACCCAUCACUUAGGCACAUAAACACACUUUUCACCCAUUUGGGGUAGAUUUUGAGAUGGUGACAACUCUCCUUUUCUCCUUUUUAGGGUUUGUAUCUCUUUCAUUCCAUUCUUCAUCUAGAUUCAUCAUGACAAUGGUGAACUAAACCUUAUUGUUGUUAGGGGAAACAAUGUAAUCUUUUGAUACUCUCUUUUAUUGAAACUCUU